This 526-nucleotide long non-coding RNA is filed under the name Olea europaea (common olive). Its description in RNAcentral is "long non-coding RNA (OEUR_LNC011503)". Lineage: Eukaryota; Viridiplantae; Streptophyta; Magnoliopsida; Lamiales; Oleaceae. The record is from RNAcentral.
AUGUGUUUGUUGAAACUCUUGAGUCAAAGAAGCAAUUCCAGAAGGAAAAUUCUCUUAAAAAGUCUGAAAACAAAUCAAUAAGUUGGAAGUACUGGAACUUAGAUUCAAGUAAAGGAAAACCUUCUAAUAAGAUGCUAGGGGCAACUGGCUAUGGAGUUGCCUAGAAUAUUAUACUUGAGCUUGUUGCUCGGUUGUGUACGUCUGGACACUUCAAAAGGAAGAAACGGCCCUUCUUCGCGAUGAUCAAGACUGGAGUGCUUACAAGGAAAUUGUGCUAUUGUAUGAUGAAUUCAACAACUUCCACCUUGAGGACAAGGUGGAUUUUGGGGCGGCGGGUAUUGAUAGGCUCCUAGCCACCCCCACCCAUUCUAGAAGGACCCAGAAGAAGAAAAACGUGCAUGUGGGUGGCAAUACCAAAAUCUGUUAGAGAGGGGAAAUUGGAGGGAAAGGUCCGUUAGAAGUUGGCUAUAAAUAUAGGUAGAAAUUAGCCAUAUUGGUAGGCAAAUAUUGGUAGUAAAGUCAGGAG